UACGGAGGGUGCAAGCGUUAUCCGGAAUCAUUGGGUUUAAAGGGUCCGCAGGCGGAUUUAUAAGUCAGUGGUGAAAGCCUACAGCUUAACUGUAGAACUGCCAUUGAUACUGUAAGUCUUGAAUUUGGUCGAAGUGGGCGGAAUAUGACAUGUAGCGGUGAAAUGCAUAGAUAUGUCAUAGAACACCGAUAGCGAAGGCAGCUCACUAGGCCAACAUUGACGCUCAUGGACGAAAGCGUGGGGAGCAAACAGGAUUAGAUACCCUGGUAGUCCACGCCGUAAACUAUCAAUACUCGUUUUCAGCGAUAUACUGUUGGAGACUAAGCGAAAGUGAUAAGUAUUGCACCUGGGGAGUACGAUCGCAAGGUUGAA
This 372-nucleotide ribosomal RNA is filed under the name uncultured bacterium. Its description in RNAcentral is "bacterial SSU rRNA". It matches the Rfam family "Bacterial small subunit ribosomal RNA", at positions 524 to 898 of the family's 1533-position model. The record is from RNAcentral.